CGCGUUUUUCGCCCAGGCGGAGCUCGACCGCAAACUUCGCUGAUCUGUGAGUACGUUGGCGGUCACCGUGACCGUUUCGGAGUCGAGCCGAUUUGCGCCGUCCUGAGCGAGUACGGGGUGCAGAUCGCUCC
Marchantia polymorpha subsp. polymorpha is the source of this 131-nucleotide regulatory RNA element. It matches the Rfam family "ALIL pseudoknot". NCBI's taxonomy places the organism in Eukaryota, Viridiplantae, Streptophyta, Marchantiopsida, Marchantiales, Marchantiaceae. The record is from Rfam.